GAAACAUCUUGCACACAUAUAUGUCUAAAAGAUGAUGAUUUAUUAGUGUUGAUUCAGCUAAGGUGAUGAAGAUCUUGAGAGAUUCAUGGAAUUGAACCUAUGGUUUACCAGUAAACUCUUAUAGCUCUUGGCUCAAAGAUUUCUGGGGAGGCUUUGUUCUUAGGUUAGUUAAUUGCUUGAGGCCAGUAGAACAGCAAUUUCCUAUAGCAUCAUGAAAAAUAUGUCCUAUAGCAUCAUGGCAGCAGCAGAGCUAUAAACUUCACUUUGAGAGGCCAUGUGGAGAAUAUCAGAAUAUUGGUCACUCUUGGAGAAACACAUGAUAUGAUUCUAUAUCAUUAUAGAUCUAUAACAGAGUUCUUGUAAGUUUCUAGGGGCAGUAGAGUCUCAUCCAUAUCAUUUGGGGUGCUCCACCCUUCCUAUUGCCUUCUAAAAAUUUAGGUUCAGAUUCUGUUUUGUGGAUCUUCCAUUUCAUUAAUUGGUUACUUACAAGUGUAAAUACUCUAAUUUCUUCCAGCUAGUUGUGUAUUAUAAUUGUACAUACCUUGAAAUUGUGUAGGCACAAUGAGUUCUAGUACCAGUGGGACAACAAAGAAAGAUCAUGCUAAUUUAUAGAUGUUCAAUGUAUGUUUACAUAGAGACAAGCUAUGGUAUUGUGAUGUUUAUCAUACACUCAUUUUGCAUUUACUUGAACAAAAAUUACAAUUUAUAUGAAUCAAAAUUACAAUAUUGAAAACAAAGUUACCAUAUUC
Long non-coding RNA from Rosa rugosa (rugosa rose), 749 nucleotides. RefSeq lists it as uncharacterized. NCBI's taxonomy places the organism in Eukaryota, Viridiplantae, Streptophyta, Magnoliopsida, Rosales, Rosaceae. The record is from RefSeq and is a predicted model, not a curated record. The transcript is spliced from 3 exons.